CACGUAGGGUGCGAGCGUUGUCCGGAAUCAUUGGGCGUAAAGAGCGUGUAGGCGGCCCGGUAAGUCCGCUGUGAAAGUCAGGGGCUCAACCCUCGGAUGCCGGUGGAUACUGUCGGGCUCGAGUACGGAAGAGGCGAGUGGAAUUCCUGGUGUAGCGGUGAAAUGCGCAGAUAUCAGGAGGAACACCUAUUGCGAAGGCAGCUCGCUGGGACGUUACUGACGCUGAGGAGCGAAAGCGUGGGGAGCGAACAGG
RNAcentral lists this ribosomal RNA (253 nucleotides) under uncultured bacterium. Its description in RNAcentral is "partial 16S ribosomal RNA". It matches the Rfam family "Bacterial small subunit ribosomal RNA", at positions 524 to 776 of the family's 1533-position model. The record is from RNAcentral.